GGGUGCUCAAUGUUUAACAUUAAUUUCAUGGGCAGACCUCCUCCUGGCUUUCUUAAAGUCAUUCUUUGAAGGAGGGAUCUGCCAUGGUCAUCUACUUUAGAUAAGGCACUUUUGGGCUUGUAACCCCAGGCAGGCCCAAUAUUCCAUCCUGCAGCCCCCCAAUGGUCACAGUUGUGUCCCCAUUGCUUGUCAACUACACAAACAUAGGGGUCCUUUGCGUGUGGUAUAUCUUUGUAAAUGGUUUGAAUCUGUGACUUGGGAAAUGGACAAUCUACUAUGUCACAGUAAUCAAAGGUGAAUGUAGCUACGCGGGUGCAUGAUGAGUUAUACCAGAAUGUGUACCCACUAGCAUCUUUGGUAAUGGCCACUUGUUGGGCCUCAAGGAAACUAAUCAAAGGGAUGAUGUACCAGAGGUACAUCGUUGUGAGGAGUCUGCUUCCUCUGGGACAGGAACCUUUUUGCAAUGGGAGGCGUGUAUCCAGUUGCUUUUCCCAGCCAACUUGACGGAGGUGGAGGUGAUCAGUAGAACUUGGAAUGGUCCGUCAAAUCUUGGUUCCAGGGUGUGUUUCCGCACAAAUUUCUUGACUUGGACCCAAUCACCAGGGAGCAGACUGUGGUUGCCCGUAUCAGAAUCAGGAUCUGGAAUUGAAGAGAAAACUUGGGCAUGGAUU
This is a non-coding RNA of Pelobates cultripes (western spadefoot toad), 671 nucleotides long. The record is from the annotation of a GenBank genome assembly. Lineage: Eukaryota; Metazoa; Chordata; Amphibia; Anura; Pelobatidae.